This 440-nucleotide ribosomal RNA is filed under the name uncultured bacterium. RNAcentral's name for it is "partial 16S ribosomal RNA". It matches the Rfam family "Bacterial small subunit ribosomal RNA", at positions 338 to 795 of the family's 1533-position model. The record is from RNAcentral.
CCUACGGGAGGCAGCAGUGGGGAAUAUUGCACAAUGGGGGAAACCCUGAUGCAGCGACGCCGCGUGAGCGAUGAAGUACUUCGGUAUGUAAAGCUCUAUCAGUAGGGAAGAAAAUGACGGUACGUGACUAAGAAGCUCUGGCUAACUACGUGCCAGCAGCCGCGGUAAUACGUAGGGGGCAAGCGUUAUCCGGAUUUACUGGGUGUAAAGGGAGCGUAGACGGUCCUGCAAGUCAGUUGUGAAAGCCUGGGGCUCAACCCCGGGAGUGCAUUUGGAACUGUAAGGCUUGAGUGUCGGAGAGGCAGGCGGAAUUCGUGGUGUAGCGGUGAAAUGCGUAGAUAUUAGGAAGAACACCAAUGGCGAAGGCAGCCUACUGGACGAUAACUGACAUUGAGGCUCGAAAGCGUGGGGAGCAAACAGGAUUAGAUACCCCGGUAGUC